RNAcentral lists this ribosomal RNA (253 nucleotides) under uncultured bacterium. Its description in RNAcentral is "partial 16S ribosomal RNA". It matches the Rfam family "Bacterial small subunit ribosomal RNA", at positions 524 to 776 of the family's 1533-position model. The record is from RNAcentral.
AACGUAGGACACAAGCGUUAUCCGGAGUUACUGGGCGUAAAGGGCGUGUAGGCGGAGAUGUAAGUCUAUUCUGAAAUCUCCCGGCUCAACUGGGAGGGUGCGCCGAAUACUGAGGGACUAGAGUACGGGAGAGGAAAGUGGAAUUCCUGGUGUAGCGGUGAAAUGCGUAGAUAUCAGGAGGAACACCGGUGGUGUAGACGGCUUUCUGGACCGACACUGACGCUGAGACACGAAAGCGUGGGGAGCGAACAGG